This 780-nucleotide unclassified non-coding RNA is filed under the name soil metagenome. RNAcentral describes it as "partial contains internal transcribed spacer 1, 5.8S ribosomal RNA, and internal transcribed spacer 2". The stretch from base 127 to 280 matches the Rfam family "5.8S ribosomal RNA". The record is from RNAcentral.
AAGAAUUUAAAGAGUGCACUUCAUUGUGGCUCGACAUUUUCUACCAUUCACCCUAGUGCACCGUAAUACCUUUUUUAUUAGACUCUACAAAGUUAAUGAAUGUAACACUUUUUUAUAAAGAAAUAAAACUUUUAACAACGGAUCUCUUGGCUCUCGCAACGAUGAAGAACGCAGCGAAAUGCGAUAAGUAAUGUGAAUUGCAGAAUUCAGUGAAUCAUCGAAUCUUUGAACGCACCUUGCGCCCUUUGGUAUUCCGAAGGGCACACCUGUUUGAGUGUCAUUAAUUCCUCAACCCUACAAUUUUUUCAUUAAUUUUGCUAGUGGUUGGAUGCUGAGCGCUGCUGGACUCCUUCAGUUCAGCUCGCUUUAAAUUGAUGAGCAGGCUCCUAUCUUUUCGGACUGACUCAACGUGAUAAGAAAUUUCGUUGAGGACGCUUCGCGGCGGCCGAACUGUAGGGUAAUGCCGCUACUAGUUGACCCUUAUAUUUUAGACCUCAAAUCAGGUGGGACUACCCGCUGAACUUAAGCAUAUCAAUAAGCGGAGGAAUCGCCAACUUGGUCAUUUAGAGGAAGUAAAAGUCGUAACAAGGCUUCCGUAGGUGAACCUGCGGAAGGAUCAUUACAAGAAACGAGGCCGCGUGCGCUCGCCCGCCCGGCCCCGCUCCUUACCUUGCCUACUGCAACCGUUUGUUGCUUCCUGGCGGCGGACUGCCCGCCGCCAGGGACGUUGAUACAAUCCUGUAUAGAAGCAUUGAAGCUCUGAGAAAACGCGAAAUCGUA